CCUACGGGAGGCAGCAGUGAGGAAUAUUGGUCAAUGGGCGCGAGCCUGAACCAGCCAAGCAGCGUGAAGGAUGACUGCCCUCCGGGUUGUAACCUUUUUUUAUAAAGGAAUAAAGUGAGGCACGUGUGCCUUCUGGUAUGUACUUUAUGUACAAGGCACGGCUAACUCCGUGCCAGCAGCCGCGGUAAUACGGAGGAUCCGAGCGUUAUCCGGAUUUAGUGGGUUUAAAGGGAGCGUAGAUGGGAUGUUAAGUCAGUUGUGAAAGUUUGCGGCUCAACCGUAAAAUUGCAAUUGAUACUGGCAGCCUUGAGUACAGUUGAGGAAGGCGGAAUUCGUGGUGUAGCGGUGAAAUGCGUAGAUAUCACGAAGAACACCGAUUGCGAAGGCAGCUUACUAAACUGCCACUGACAUUGAUGCUCGAAAGUGUGGGUAUCAAACAGGAUUAGAUACCCCUGUAGUC
Molecule: ribosomal RNA, 460 nt
Filed under: uncultured bacterium
Lineage: Bacteria
Description: partial 16S ribosomal RNA
Rfam family: Bacterial small subunit ribosomal RNA
Source: RNAcentral